ACCUGGUUGAUCCUGCCAGUAGUCAUAUGCUUGUCUUAAAGAUUAAGCCAUGCAUGUCUAAGUUCAGCACGAGAUACGGCGAAACUGCGAAUGGCUCAUUAAAUCAGUAAUAAUUGACUUGGCGGCACCUUCUCUUACUCGGAUAACUGUAGUAAUUCUAGAGCUAAUACGUGCGCUUAGACCACUACUUGUAGUAGUGCACUUGUUAGGUACCAACACCAAUGCUUCGGCGAAGGUGAUUCUAGACAAGAAGGCGAGUGCAUAGCUUUACGCUGGCACCACGCUAGCCAAGUUUCUGCCCUAUCAGCUUGUUGGUAGCGUAAGGGGCUACCAAGGCGAUAACGGGUGACGGGGAAUUAGGGUUCGAUUCCGGAGAGGGAGCCUGAGAGACGGCUACCACUUCCAAGGAAGGCAGCAGGCGCGCAAAUUACCCAAUGUCGAUUCGGCGAGGUAGUGACAAUAAAUAAUGAUCCCGCUACCCUAGUGGUAGAGGGAAUCGGAAUGAGUACAACGUAAAUACCUUAACAAGGAACAAUUGGAGGACAAGUCUGGUGCCAGCACCCGCGGUAAUUCCAGCUCCAAUAGCGUAUAUUAAAAUUGUUGCAGUUAAAAAGCUCGUAGUUGGAUUUCUGCUAGUGUGCGUGUCGGUAACCUUCCUGUUAAAAAUAGCAGGAGGCCCGACUAACACGCUAGCAAGUUGACUGUUACUGGGUGCUCCUCUUAAUUGAUGGGGUGCUCAGCCAGUCCGAUUACCUUGAACAAAUUAGAGUGUUUAAAGCAGGCGGCUCGCUGCCUAUAUAGAUUAGCAUGGGAUAAUGGAAUAGGACAUAGUACCGAGUCCAUUGGUCAGCUUGUACUGUGUAAUGGUUAAUAGAGAAUGUCGGGGCUGUUAGGAUUCAGCGGCUAGAGGUGAAAUUCUUAGACCCGCUGAGGACUACCAGAAGCGAAAGCGUUCAGCAAGGGCACUCCCAUUAAUCAAGAACGAAAGUUAGGGGAUCGAAGACGAUCAGAUACCGUCGUAGUCUUAACUAUAAACGAUAUGGAUUAAUUAUUAACAGGCGUUAAUACGUACGACCCCGCUAGCGAUUGCCGGGAAACCGUUAAAUCAUCGCGUUCCGGGGGGAGUAUGGUCGCAAGGCUGAAACUUAAAGGAAUUGACGGAAGGGCACACCAGGAGUGGAGCCUGCGGCUUAAUUUGACUCAACACGGGGAAACUUACUAGGUCCAAACAUAGCGAGGAUUGACAGAUUGAUAGUUCUUUCUUAAUUUCUAUGGGUGGUGGUGCAUGGCCGUUCUUAGUUGGUGGAGUGAUUUGUCUGGUUGAUUCCGAUAACGAACGAGAUCGUUGCCUAUUAACUAGACGCUACUAGUCGUCUAUACGGGUGAAGCUAGCUUGCUUCUGUUAGCGGGGCAACCCAUUAGCAGGACUGGUUAGUGGAUCCUUGAUGCACUGGAGCGAGCUUCUUAAAGGGACUGUUGGUGACUAACCAAAGGAAGUGACGGCAAUAACAGGUCUGUGAUGCCCUUAGAUGUCCUAGGCUGCACGCGCGCUACACUGUCUGGUGCAAUGAGCUUAAGAUUGCUAAUCCAAUAGGACCGGCAACUCUUAUCAGAGCUUGACGUGAUUGGGAUUGACCACUGAAACUGUGGUCAUCAACGAGGAAUUCCUAGUAGGCGCAGUUCAACAAACUGCGCCGACUACGUCCCUGCCCUUUGUACACACCGCCCGUCGCUCCUACCGAUUGAAUGAUCCGGUGAAAUCUGCAGAGCCUAGGCCCUUGGGUCAGUGGCGAAGUUGAGUAAACCAUAUCAUUUAGAGGAAGGAGAAGUCGUAACAAGGUUUCCGUAGGUGAACCUGCRGAAGGAUCA
RNAcentral lists this ribosomal RNA (1869 nucleotides) under uncultured eukaryote. RNAcentral's name for it is "SSU rRNA". It matches the Rfam family "Eukaryotic small subunit ribosomal RNA". The record is from RNAcentral.